CCAAUAGCGUAUAUUAAAGUUGUUGCAGUUAAAAAGCUCGUAGUUGAACUUCGGGGUUUACCCAUUGGUCAGGCUUAAUUGUCUGCACUGGUGAGAUGAAUCUCUACCUUCUGAGGAACUUUCAUGCCAUUUAUUUGGUGUGAUUGGAAAUCAGGCCUGUUACUUUGAAAAGAUUAGAGUGUUUAAAGCAGGCUAACGUCUGAAUACAUUAGCAUGGCAUAAUGAAAUAGGACGGGACUGAUUCUAUUUCGUUGGUUUCUAGGAUCACCGUAAUGAUUAAUAGGGAUAGUUGGGGGCAUUAGUAUUCAAUUGUCAGAGGUGAAAUUCUUGGAUUUAUUGAAGACUAACUACUGCGAAAGCAUUUGCCAAGGAUGUUUUCAUUAAUCAAGAACGAAAGUUAGGGGAUCGAAGACGAUCAGAUACCGUCGUAGUCUUAACCAUAAACUAUGCCGACUAGGGAUCGGACGAAGUUAAUUUUAUAAUGACGCGUUCGGCACCUUACG
This 503-nucleotide ribosomal RNA is filed under the name uncultured Glomeromycotina. RNAcentral describes it as "partial small subunit ribosomal RNA". It matches the Rfam family "Eukaryotic small subunit ribosomal RNA", at positions 591 to 1092 of the family's 1831-position model. Lineage: Eukaryota; Fungi; Glomeromycota. The record is from RNAcentral.